RNAcentral lists this ribosomal RNA (253 nucleotides) under uncultured bacterium. RNAcentral's name for it is "partial 16S ribosomal RNA". It matches the Rfam family "Bacterial small subunit ribosomal RNA", at positions 524 to 776 of the family's 1533-position model. The record is from RNAcentral.
UACGGAGGGGGCUAGCGUUGUUCGGAAUUACUGGGCGUAAAGCGCACGCAGGCGGACUUGUAAGUCAGAGGUGAAAUCCCAGGGCUCAACCUCGGAAUUGCCUUUGAUACUGUCUAUCUUGAGGCCGGGAGAGGUGAGUGGAAUUCCUAGUGUAGAGGUGAAAUUCGUAGAUAUUAGGAAGAACACCAGUGGCGAAGGCGGCUCACUGGCCCGGUACUGACGCUCAUGUGAGAAAGCGUGGGGAGCAAACAGG